RNAcentral lists this ribosomal RNA (2436 nucleotides) under Triticum aestivum (bread wheat). RNAcentral's name for it is "partial small subunit ribosomal RNA". Lineage: Eukaryota; Viridiplantae; Streptophyta; Magnoliopsida; Poales; Poaceae. The record is from RNAcentral.
AUGCAUGAUUUGGUGCAUGACUUGGCACAAUCAGUUGCUGGUGAUGAAGCAUUUUAUCUGCAUGCUAUAAGCCAAAGUAGUUCACCCAGUGACAACUGUCAUCAUUUAGUUGUGGUUAGCUAUGAUAAAAGGCUUUGCAAGUCAUUGUCUGUUAAGGUUAGGUCACUACAUUUCAGGGAUUGUGGUGGAAAACAACUUCCUGGCGAUACAUUCUCAUUGACAAAAAACUUACGCAUCUUGGAUUUAACUGGAUGUGUUGUGAGGAAGUUGACGGAUCCAACUCGUCAAUUAGCUCAUUUGAGGUACCUUGAUGCUUCACUAUUAUGUGAUAAAGAUUUUCCUAUGUGGAUUACAAGCCUCUUGAAAUUACAUUAUUUGAGCAUACAUGGCUCUACCAAAAUAUCAGAGCUGCCGAAGUCAACCGGGAACCUUAAAGAUUUGGCACAUCUGGAUUUAUCAUGUUGUGGAAACCUUGUGCACUUGCCGGAGUUUUUUUCCAACCUUACAAGUCUCUUGCUAUUGAACCUGGCAGAUUGUUCCAGCCUUUCUGCAUUGCCCAAUUCCAUCUGUGACCUUUUGAAUCUAGAGAACUUAAACCUCUUAGGUUGUAAACUGGAAGAACUACCUAAAUUUCUGGGAAAUCUUAAGAAGCUAAGGCUGCUGAACCUAUCUAGGUGUUCUAGGCUUCGUGAUUUACCUGAUUCCCUCUGUAACCUUGUCUCCCUAGAAAAGCUAGACCUAUCUUAUUGUUCUAGUUUGCAAGAACUACCAAAUUUCUUUGGUAACCUUCAAGAACUAAGCCUUUUGGAUUUAUCACACUGUUCCAAUCUUUCUAGAUUGCCUGAUUCAUUUGGUAAUCUGAACAAAUUGCAACAUUUAAACUUAGAAGCUUUCAUGCAUUACAUGCCCUUGCACCACAGUGAGCUACGCUACUACUUCGACAUGUUAUUUUGAGUCCUAUGUAACCUACUCAACCUGCAAUACCUAAACUUCUCAGCGUGCCCUGUUUCUGUUCUUCCUGAAUCUCUUGCCAACCUCAAAAUGCUUCACACAUUGAAUAUCUCAUGUUGCAUUUCCCUAAGAAAAUUGCCACAAAAAAUUCUUGAAUUGCCAAACCUUAAAUCUUUAGUUGUGAAGAAUUGUUUCCCACCUAUCGAAGAUCAAAUCAAGCGAUCCUCACUGGCCAAUGGUUUGAUGUCAUUGCCAAAGUUUUUUGUGUAUAACAUGCCUGGUGGUGUGUCCAGCAAUAUUGUGCAGCUUGAGGGUGUAGAUGCUAAAGAGCUUGAGAUAAAAUUUCUUGAAGAUGUGGUGAGUUUGGAAGAAGCUAAGAAAGUCAACCUGGCAUGUAAAUCAAGGCUUUCCAUGUUGUUCCUCUCUUGGACUGGCAAUGUCGUCGACCAUCUUGUGGAUGAUGAGUCUUUGCUUGUGGAGCUCCUACCCCCAACCACCUUGGAACAGUUUAUUCUCCAAGGUUACAUGGGCAUCACUUUCCCAAGUUGGAUAUGCUCUGCUACAUAUCUUGUAAACCUUUCCAGAAUAGAGCUGCAUAAUUUGCAGGGAUGCACCCAGCUACCAUCACUUGGUCAGUUACCUAAUUUGCAAGAGUUGUCUCUGCGUGCAUUGCCAAACAUCAAGAAACUGGAUAAGAAUUUCUGUGGUGGUAAUCAUGCAUUCACAAAGUUGACAAAAUUUGUUAUGCAGGACAUGGAUAAUCUGGAAGUCUGGUAUACGAGAGUAUCAAUAGAGGGCGAUGAUAAAAGGGAAGAAGUCAUGUUCCCUAACCUUCACAAGUUGCUGAUACAUGGAUGCAACAAGUUGAUGGUGAAACCAUGCCCGCCUAUAGCUGCGGAGUGAGUCAUAGAGGUUAAUGAUAUUAUAGUAUCAUCAUGGGAGGUUAAAAGACAUGCAGAAAUUCUGUCCAAUUCGAUGACUUGUUUGGAAAUAUCAGAUUGCCAUGUCAAGCCUAAUGGUUGGAGGCUGCUCUAUCAUCUUCCCACCCUUCGCAAGUUAAAGCUCCGCAUGUGCAAUGAGUUAAGUAGCUUACCAGGAAGCAUUGAAGUCCUUGCCUCCCUUCGGUCGCUACUUGUGUUUGCAUGCCACAAUUUGGUGGAACUGCCGAAAUGGUUUGGCAAUCUCACCGCACAAGAAUUGGAAAUCAACUACUGUCCUAAGCUCAAGUCCUUGCAGGAGAGCAUGCAGCACCUUACAUCACUCCGAUUGCUGCACUUGGGUCACUGCGACAACAUCUCAUCACUGCCGGAGUGGUUCGGCAAUCUCAUCUCUCUCCAAAGACUUGAGAUCUCGGGAUGCCAACUAGUCAAGUCUUUACCACGAUGCAUGCAACAUCAUAGCGCUCUGAGGGAGCUACAGAUCAGGCAUAACCCUGAACUGAAACAGUGGUGUGAGUAUUUCCUGGACGAGAAAGAAAUAGUGUGA